RNAcentral lists this ribosomal RNA (482 nucleotides) under uncultured bacterium. RNAcentral describes it as "partial 16S ribosomal RNA". It matches the Rfam family "Bacterial small subunit ribosomal RNA", at positions 30 to 507 of the family's 1533-position model. The record is from RNAcentral.
AUUGAACGCUGGCGGCAUGCCUUACACAUGCAAGUCGAACGGUAACGGGCCUUCGGGUGCCGACGAGUGGCGAACGGGUGAGUAAUACAUCGGAACGUGCCCGAUCGUGGGGGAUAACGAGGCGAAAGCUUUGCUAAUACCGCAUACGAUCUACGGAUGAAAGCAGGGGACCGCAAGGCCUUGCGCGGACGGAGCGGCCGAUGGCAGAUUAGGUAGUUGGUGGGAUAAAAGCUUACCAAGCCGACGAUCUGUAGCUGGUCUGAGAGGAUGAUCAGCCACACUGGGACUGAGACACGGCCCAGACUCCUACGGGAGGCAGCAGUGGGGAAUUUUGGACAAUGGGUGCAAGCCUGAUCCAGCCAUGCCGCGUGCAGGAUGAAGGCCUUCGGGUUGUAAACUGCUUUUGUACGGAACGAAAAGCCUUCUUUUAAUACAGGAGGGUCAUGACGGUACCGUAAGAAUAAGCACCGGCUAACUACGUG